RNAcentral lists this ribosomal RNA (519 nucleotides) under uncultured bacterium. RNAcentral describes it as "bacterial SSU rRNA". It matches the Rfam family "Bacterial small subunit ribosomal RNA", at positions 355 to 865 of the family's 1533-position model. The record is from RNAcentral.
UGGGGAAUCUUGCGCAAUGCGCGAAAGCGUGACGCAGCAACGCCGCGUGGGGGAAGAAGGCCUUCGGGUUGUAAACCCCUUUCAGUUGGGACGAAGCUUCGCCGGUGAAUAGCCGGCUGGAGUGACGGUACCUUCAGAAGAAGCCCCGGCUAACUACGUGCCAGCAGCCGCGGUAAUACGUAGGGGGCAAGCGUUGUCCGGAAUCAUUGGGCGUAAAGAGCGUGUAGGCGGCUCGGUAAGUCCGCUGUAAAAGUCCAGGGCUCAACCCUGGAAAGCCGGUGGAAACUGUCGAGCUAGAGUCCGGAAGAGGCGAGUGGAAUUCCUGGUGUAGCGGUGAGAUGCGCAGAUAUCAGGAGGAACACCAAUGGCGAAGGCAGCUCGCUGGGACGGUACUGACGCUGAGACGCGGAAGCGUGGGGAGCAAACAGGAUUAGAUACCCUGGUAGUCCACGCUGUAAACGAUGGGCACUAGGUGUGGGGGGUGUCGACUCCCUCCGUGCCGACGCUAACGCAUUAAGU